AUUCCAGCUCCAAUAGCGUAUAUUAAAGUUGUUGCAGUUAAAAAGCUCAUAGUUGAAUUUCUGUACAGUCCCGGUUCUGGCUUCGGUCAAGCCGUGGAUUGUGCAUCCGCUUGCAAAUCUAGCUCGGCCUUCACUGGUCGAUUAGGGGAGUAAGCCCUUUACUUUGAAAAAAUUAGAGUGUUUCAGGCAGGCAAUGGCUCGAAUACAUUAGCAUGGAAUAAUGGAAUAGGACUUUUGUCCAUUUGGUUGGUUAUUGGACAUGAGUAAUGAUUAAAAGGGACAGUUGGGGGCAUUAGUAUUUAAUAGUCAGAGGUGAAAUUCUUGGAUUUAUUAAAGACUAACUUAUGCGAAAGCAUUUGCCAAGGAUGUUUUCAUCA
This 377-nucleotide ribosomal RNA is filed under the name Parauronema sp. RNAcentral describes it as "partial small subunit ribosomal RNA". It matches the Rfam family "Eukaryotic small subunit ribosomal RNA", at positions 582 to 975 of the family's 1831-position model. The record is from RNAcentral. Lineage: Eukaryota; Ciliophora; Oligohymenophorea; Philasterida; Philasteridae.